Molecule: non-coding RNA, 1266 nt
Organism: Physcomitrium patens
Lineage: Eukaryota; Viridiplantae; Streptophyta; Bryopsida; Funariales; Funariaceae
Source: RefSeq, a predicted model, not a curated record
CAUUGGUUUGAGAUUGAUCUCCGUUAGUGUUAUCCUUCCAUGUUGUUGGCCUCCUCUCUUCUAUGUGGUAGUGGUGUGGGUUGUAGCAAUCCCUCGUGGUCUCGACAAUUCAAGGCAUGUGGGGCAGUCCCGGAUUUGAUGUUGGGUGUUAAGAUAAUAUCGGCAUCGGAUAGUUUGAGGAAUCCGGGUCGGCCAAGUCGGUCACAGCUAGCCGGGUUUCACACAUUCAUCUAAGAAUUCAUCUCACAUUUAUUCACGAAGACUUCUUGUGCCAGUUCGGAGGCGAGUGAAGGCAGGGGGUUGCAAUUUGCAGCCCCUUUCUGCACUUCAGCUCACGCUUCACCCUGUUUGCAUCCCCAGCGAGCAGCCAUGAAGGUCAUCUUGGUCGGGGAUUCCAUGGACCUACUCGAGGGGUUCAAGGUCAAAAUCAAGGCCAGACGGUUGCGCGUCAGUGGCCCCCGCCGCAUGCUCACUCGCAACCUCAAGCACCUCAACAACACAAGAAUUGAGAUUAGGAAUUUCUUAGAGGAGAAGAAGUGCGUAGGGUGAAGCUGCUUCGAGGCGUGACAGGAUAAAAGAUGAAGUGUUGCUGGAAUGCAACAACAUUGAGUUACUGCCUCAAUCAUGCGCUUUGAUCAACCAGGAGAAGUGGUGUGGUUUGUGUGCAGCAGUGUCACAACUUUUGAGCUGAACUGGGUUCAGGGUUCAUGUCUGAGGAUUGUUUUGGAAGUGGCGAUGGAUGUCUGUAUAACGAGAUUGUGCAUGGUUUCAAUAGAAGGUGGGUGGUUUGUUUCGUUGGUGGGCGGUUUGGUGCAGAAAUACGACGUUAAGCAGAAGGACAUCAGGAAGUUUUUGGAUGGGCACAAUGGAUACUUGUGAUUUUUAGCUCUUCGUGUUUCAAUUCUGACAGCAUUGUAAAUAUGUUUCCUUUUUGCGGGAGAUUGAUACGAAACUUGGUUUGUUUAGUAUGAAAGUAUUUUGGAAUUGUUGGCUUUCUAGUUGACGAGACAGCCAUGACUUUUGAUGAAGUCAAGAAAAUUGAUUUAGUCCAACUUGAUAGAAUUUUGGUAAGUCUAGUGGAAAGACACUUGUAACAAAACUAGGAAACAACUUGAUAACAAAGUUAUAUUGUUUUAUGAUAAAAUAUAGAUUGGAAGUGAGAAUUUUGAAUGUUUAUUAGUUGGAAUCCAAGAAUUCUAAAAUAUGGUGUAAUAGUUCACAAUAAUUUUGAAACACAUUGGAAUAUAGAAACGUAUUGUGGUUUUA